CAAAAUUCUGAGGACUGGAGAAGGUGAUUUGGGGGACUCCUUUUCAAAACAAUAAGUCUGAACCUCGGAGGGUAAGGGGGGUGCUGUAGAGGGGUGCAACCCCUCACCAAGAACUUUAUCACCAACCCAGGCUGCAUUAACAGAGUAUAGUGUCUAGAACAUGGAAAGGAACAGGCUGUCUUCCAGCCAGAUCGCCUAUGGACUUUGGGCUUCAGGAGGAAGGUCCAAGGCAGCAAAGGGAAGGGAGACCCUGUCAGAUGAGAAGCACCUACAGCCUCUUAGCUUGUCUUCCCCGCAGCAGAGCAGUCUUAGAGCCAUGGCUUUCCAGACUGUGGAGCAGAGAGGUCACAUGUGGGGGCACUGGUAUCCAGCAACGUUGGGUUGGUGUCUGGCUCUGUUACUUUCAUCAGUGACCUUGCAUAGCUUACUUCACAUCUCUCUGCCUCAGAAUCCUACCUACCAGCCGAGCGCGGUGGCUCACGCCUGUAAUCCCAGCACUUCGGGAGGUGGAGGUGGGCAGAUCACAAGGUCAGGAGAUCGAGACCAUCCUGGCUAAGACAGUGAAACCCCAUCUCUACUAAAAAUACAAAAAAAAAAAAAAAGAAAAAAGAAAAGCCGGACAUAGUGCCGGGCCCCUGUAGUCCCAGAUACUCAUGAGGCUGAGGCAGGAGAAUGACAUGAACCUGGGAGGCAGAGCUUGCUUGCAAGUGAGCUAAGAUUGUGCCACUACACUCCAGCCUGGGUGACACAGCCAGACUACAUCUCAAAAAAAAAAAAAAAAAUCCCACAGAGACAUGAGGAAGACUACAUGGGAUAAUGCAUUAAAGUACCUAGAACAGCGUCUGGCACGUAGUAGAUCCUCACUUCACGUUAGGUGUUAUUAUGGUUGUUACUAUUAUUAGCUGAAUGGGUGUCAUGAGCAGAGGGAGACUGUAUGGGUGGGGUAUAGGGAAGAGCAUACAGACUCUGUGUAAGGACGACCCUUCUCCAUAUGAAAGCUUUGAUGGUAGUGAGCUUCCCACCCUGGAGGUGUUCAGAGGCUGAAUGACUCCCCUCCCCAACUCUAAGGGCCACCUUCAGUUCUUAGACUUUUGGGGUCCCUUCUACAACUUUUCUUUAAUUGACAGGAAAAAAAGUAUGCAUUUACCAUGUACAGCAUGACGUUUUGAAGAAUAUAUACAUUGUGGAGUGACUAAAUCUGGCUAAUUAACAUACGGAUUAUCUCAUAUAGUUUCUUCGACAACUUUUGCACCUGGAGGAGAUUCCCAGGACAGUCUGUCUGUCUGCUGGAUUCUAUUCCAGAGGAAAGGAAAUGGGUGGUCCCAGCCAGUGCCUACAGAGGAAGACUCAAGAACUCCUUCCUGACUCAUCUCCCUGCUCACAAACGCCCUCGGAAUUCCUCUUUUUGAGCACAAACAGCAGGAUAGGGACAGGGAUGACGGCAGGAAGAGGCAGCUUAAUAAAAAAUCCCAAUAAAGUUCUGCAGCCCCCGGCGGCCAGGUGCAGGUCCUGGGCAUGAGCCUUCCUUAGACCCGCCCACAGGGGGGCCCUGACUAAUAUUCCUGGAGCCUCUGCCUGCCCCUGGCUUCAUUAAUGAUGCUGAAGAAGGGUCUACGAGGUCCAACGGGGCUCCCCAUUGCUGCCUGACGAUAUUGCUAUGCCGCCCACGCCAGCCCCAUCCCAGCACACAUACCCUCCCUCUUCUAGACCCUCUGCAGAGGAAUGGGUUUGAUUCAAUCAGCCAUUUGCCUGUGGGACCGUCUGGUUCAACUUAUUGUGGGCAGAUGCCAGCGCCAGGGAGUCAAGCAACCCUGGUGCGGAAUUUGGAGCAAAGACUUAUUAAAGAGCAGCGGAGAGGCUCUGGGAUGGGGGCUCUGUACCCCCAGAGCCACCAGACCCAGGGUGGGCUCCAGCUAGGAAAGGCAAGGGUGGGAUAGAUAGGGACAGGAACCCAGGCAGAGCCCACCAGGAGUGCUCCCCAGCUGGCUAGAGCUCCUCCCCUGGCAGUUCAGGGCUGGCCUCCCUCCACCGGGAGCUCGAGGUGGGACAAGCUCGGGUCUUGUUCCCUCUAUGUAUUCCCUAAUAGAAAGCACAAUGCUUUAAGAAGUUUGGGCUGAGAAAAGCUAAGUCUGAGUACUUUGAAGACGGCCAGACAAAGGGCUGGUGGGGACAGCACGGAGUGCCUCGGCCCUCAGCUGCCCACAAAAGGAAGGAAAAAGGAGUGCAGACGUUGCAGUUCGGCUUAAAAAACAAACCCGUGAAACAGAGACAGCCCCCCUACUUCCCCCUCGCUCCAGCAUUAGCAGGAGGGGCUGAAAACAUUUGUUCAGAGGGAGGGUGGGGGGAAAAACCCUAAGUGCUUCUGCUUCCUUUUUUUUGCCAAAUCAUGCAGAAGAUGCUGGCAGCUGCAAAGAUUCAAUUAUGAACAAUGCGAAAAAUCAUUUACAAAAAUAAUGGCACUCGAAAAAAAAUGGCCUCUCCAGAAAUGGCGUGGAACAAUAAAUCCGUUAAUUAGCUAAUUAAUAUUCAAUUGGGGUCAGUGGGCUUAAUAGAACCUUUCUUGGAGACCCAAGAAAUUCUAAACUGCCGCGAGGCGCCUGCCCACUGCCAUUAUCUCGGGCGAGCAGGCCCUUAUCGGGCUGCCAGCUGUCCCCGAACAAUGCGGGCCCUUAUCAGCUGGGGCAGCAGCCCUGGCCGCUCGCUCCGGCUCCCUCCGCCCAGAGGAGCACGCAGCCUCUCGGUAAUUGAUACACGGCGCAGCUUUGUCUGAGGCUGUUUGCUCUGCUGGUAUUUAAGGCAGCGCGGGCCCCCUGAUUGAUUGCCAUUGGCCAAGUUUCUGCUGUCAGUGAAGGACCAGCCAAUGGCAGCGGUUAACACUCUUGAUGGCCCAGUCUUCUGGGCCAGGCCAGAGGCCCAACAUGCAGGAACAAGGCCCGCUUCGGUUUGGCGUAAGUUUUGUUGUCCUCCUAAAGUGGGAACCUGAGCCCUCAAAGACUUGGGCGUUUGGGUGGGCCGCUGGUAUCCCCUGCCCUGCUUUGCUCUCAGUGCGGUCUUUGUCUCAGGAAAAUGGGAGGUUGCAUCAGACCCUUGUUACUCUAAGUGUGGUCCAUGGACUUGCAGCAUCCAGCAUCUGCGAGCUUGUUAGAAACACAAAUGCUCAGGCCCACUUCAGACCUCCUGAAUCUGAGUCUCUGGAAAUGGGGUCUAGGAGUCUAUGUUUUAUUAAUUGCCCUAGAUGACUCUGAUAAGGGCACGCUGAAGUUUGAGAUGCAGUUAUCGAGAUCAGGGUUCCCACCCUUGGCUGUGUCUUAACACAGGCUCCCACCUGGGAGAGGGAGAAUUAAAUAUACAAAUUCCUGGGUCCUGCGGUGUAGGGUCAUUUUCCCUCAGCCGCACCCUGAGCACAAGGUACUCUGGGAACACUAGAACUGGCCAGCAAAGAGACAGGGAUACCGGCUGCCAUGGUCGUGCCCAUGGGGGUCCUGCCCAGGGUGGAACAAGGUUGCGCAUGUCAAACAGUGUAGACAAGUUCUGGCUAUACGGGACUUGGGCUCCAGAAAUCCACAGGGAGUUAGAAUGCAUUUUCUAUUUUUCUGAAUCAGUGUCUUGCUCUGUCACCUAGGCUGGAGUGCAGUGGUGUGAUCAUAGCUCACUGCAGCCUUAAAUUCCUGGGCUCAAGUGAUCCUCCCCUUAGCCUCCCAAGUAGCUGGGACUACAGGUGCAUGCCACUAUGUCUGGCUAAUUUAAAAAGAAUUUUUUUGUAGAGAUGGGGUCUCACUAUGUUACCCAGGCUUAUUUCAAACCCUGGCCUCAAGUGAUCCUCUUGCCUUGGCUUCCCAAAGUGUUGGGAUUACAGUUGUGAGCCUUCCAGAUGCAUGUUUGAUAGAAACAACGUUCCACAUGGGAGGUGGGCUCCCAGGCUAGCCCCUAGAUACCGUGAGACCCAUAGCAAAGCUGAGUCUCAGCACAUCCCCUUAGCAAAUGGAAGGAGAAGGGAGGAGAAGAAAGAAAAGGAAGUUAGGGAAAAAGAAGGUGGAGGGGACUUUAUUGUCUUACUAGGGCUCAAAUCAUGGGGUCAGGUUUUCUGAGUGUUUCUUCGGUCCCCUACAUUCUCGUCCUGCCCUGUCUUCUCUCACUUCACUGCACUCUUUAUCACUGCACCCUUCCUGGCCUGCCCUCUCAGGUAGAGCUGAGAAUCCCGUGGCUCUGCCUUCUCCCAACCCAGCCCCACAUGUUCCAGCCGCAAGCCUUUGGGGACCAGCUUGGUCAUGCCUCUGCAUAUGAAUGAGCAGGACCGCUUCACUGAGGCAGGAGAGCUUUGGUGGGAUCUGGACUUGGAGUUAGCUUAGAUGAGGUGGGUAGGGAGAGUCCCCCAUCCUGACUGCACCCCACCUUCUCUCAGGUGUUGAAUAGGAGCCAGUCAAGCAAUAGGAACAAGGAGGCCGUAAGGUAAGGGGCAAACACCAGGCAUAAUGCACCCAGCCUCAGCGCCCCUCAUCCAACACAGUGGAGCUUGGUGAGAGGAAUUCAAGAGCCAUGCUCUUCCUGGAACAGGGCCAGGUACAGGGAACUCUGGGUAUCAGCAGGUGACAGGACCUCAGCCACAGGGGCCAUGGGGGGUUAGUGAGGCAAAGUUGGUCCAAGCAACGGAUGGCUCUAAGCUUAGGAUUAUGUUGUCCUCGGCAGAUGACUGGGCAGGGCCUUGAACCCCAGAGCAAGUUAGGAUGAAGUUAUCAGGUCUGGGGUUCCAGGCAAGGACCAGAUGGAUGUGAUUCUGAGUGAGACCAGAGUGAAGGGCUAGAGCUACUGAAGCUCUUCCUGCCUCCUGGGCCACAUCCCAAGUUGCCCAGCUAAUGUGAUCAGUUCCUUCGUCUCCAUUGUGAAUCAGCAGCAAGGGCCCCAUGUGAUGUUCCUCCUGGGUCAUUUACUUCUCUAGCAACAAGGGGUUUUCAGUGCACCCGCAUCUGCAUGGGAGGAUUACCAGGCACUUCUAGAACUGCCAGGGCCUCAGGGGAAGCUCAGCCAAGUAGAUUGACUGGUGCGGACUGUCGGAGUCACCAGCAAUCAGCAUGGGGAGGAGCAGAGCUGAUGCUGCAGUCCCAACCAAAUGGCCCUUUCAUCUGUGCCCUCCUCGGGGCUCUCAGUGUAUCAAAAGGCUGUUGAAGAAUAUCAAAGGCAAGCAACCAUUAUCCAUCACUCUUCUAGGUUAAAUAACUUCCAUAUUGAUGUGUUCACGAGACUCUAAUGAGGAAAAUAGCCUUCUGUUAAGUAAGCAAACCAUUGACCUAAGAACCCAUGGGUUAGCCCAGGCCCUCACCUACCACGUGAGCAGUUAGCUUCUAAAGCUGCCCAGACACCAAAAAUACGCCCUUCCUCCCCAACCACAUAUGUUCACGCAUGUCACUUUGGCUCUCAUGGGGCUCCUUGAUCCCUCCCUGAGCAAGUGUGCUCCUUUGGACAACAUGGGUUUGGCCCGUCUCACCAAAUCCUGGAAACGGAGGCCAAAGGUACUCUUGUCCAGGCUAGAGUCCUGACCCCAACUCUCUGAGGGGUGCAUGUGUGAUCCCAGAUCAUGGAUAUUGCCCUGCACAAGCUGGUGCAAGAGCAAGAUACCCUAGUCUUCCUUUCCUAGAUCAAAUCUGCUCUGGUCAUGUUUCAGGAGGCCACUGGGUGCUGGCCCAUGCUUGGAGUUGCUUCCACAGCCAGCUAUUGGUGGGAGGGAGUGAAAGGCAACAACAGAACGUGGACAUGGAGAGAGAGACAUUGAGAGACUCAGAGACACACUUAGGAGAGAGGCAGAAAGAGAACUCGAGAGAGCCGGUUGGUUUGUGUGAGAGUGAGGGAGAGCUCUAAUCAUUGGUUCAAUUAUCUGAGACUCUACUUUGACAACCAUAGAGACUUCCUGUGCCUAUGACAACAAUUGCCAGGAUGGGAGUGGUGGUAGGUUGGGACUCUGCAGAUUUUUCUGACUCCAAAUUCCUAUUGUGACCUUGAGUCUCUGGUUUCCUAUGAGCUCAAAGUGGGUUCUUCCUUGAGCUCCUUCCUUGAGAGGGCUAAGCUUGCUCCCAACUCCCUUUGUCACCUGUUCUCAAAACACCAGAUGAUUGGGACCCUCAGACCAGUGUCCAAACCAGUUUUAUAGAUGAGCAAACUGCAGCUCAGGGUGUAACCGCUGCCAAGUGCACAUUAUACACGAGUUAGGUGCUGGGCCAUGGCAGUCCAGGAAUGGCCUCCCCGCUUUACCGUUAGUUAUCUACCUGCUGCCCACUCCCUCACUCCCCUUACUCAACAGUCUCUGUGCCAGGGCAACCAGGCCCUAUCACCAGAGGAAAGAAAGUUUCUGCUAACCUGAAAACAAGCCAUAGGAGCAGGAGGCCCUGAGUGCGCCUGCGGAGUUUGGAGCUCCUUCAACUUCACGACUAAUUGCAGAGAGGCAGUGGGCGGGCUCUUGGCAAGCAAUUAGCUGUCCCACUGCAUGAAUAAUUUGCAUAGAAAAUGCUUUAUUUUGGCAAUCUAUUAAAGGGCCCACAGUGCUGUGGCUUAUCUCAGUCUCACAGCAAGGAGAAGGCUUGGCUAUCUCGUUAAGUUCUGUUGAUGCAUAACAAUUUGAAAUGGGCACAGGCUAGUAUGACAUUUAAAGAUGCCUUCACUUAAUUAUAUUACACAAACAUAGGGUUGUUUAUCCUUGGGAAUAAAGUCUUUUUGAAGUCAAAGUUGGCAUGUGCAUAAAGGAGGGCGUUUUAACCGAUUUUUCAAGAGGAAGCCUCCUCACUUCAAACUUGGGGGGUUGCAUUUCCCUAGGGCCUCGUAACACAGAGGGUUCUAUGGCUGAGAUGCAGACUUUGAGAUUGGCUCUCUAGUUCUUCUUAUUUAGGGGUGGCCUACAGUUUGGCACUUAAUACAAUAUUGCGGAAAGAAAAGCUUAUUAGAGCAAGGAAAAGAGACUUGCUGUGUGACCUUGGGGGAGCCCCUCCUCUUUUCUGAGCUUCCAUUGCCUCCUGUGCAACACGUGGGGUGGGACUUUCCUUCUCUAAAGCAAUGACUGGCAAACCACAUGUUCUGCUUUCACCUUGCCACUCCUCACAUUGACUCUGUAAAUUAAAAUACAGCCUCUUUGUUAAAAGCCAAAGGGAAUUCAGGAGCCCCAUAGCACGCUUUCUAAGGACUAGAAUAUGCUGGAGGAGGGAGAUGAGGAAAAAUAGGAAGGGGCUUGCAGCUGCAGCAGGUGUUGGUACAUUUUGCUCUGCCAAGUCAGAAGGCCCCAGGAGACUGCAGAGCUUGCAGCCUUGCUUCAUUUCCUUGAAAACUAGGAAUUGGGUCCUGAUUGGAGGAAAUGCAAGAGGAACCCUAGGGGCUUUGAGAAAAUCCAUGAAACCCUGAGAAGCCUGCCUUGCUCACAGGUUGCCCAUGGAAAGCUGACAGAUGCCAGAUAGCUCUUCACCUCUAGGCACUGGAGCAGAGACCAGUGCUACCCUGGGAGGAGCUCUAGGCGCAGGGUUGGGUUGGCUGGUUUCUGGCAGACCAGAGUCUUUGUUGAUUCCAGUGAAAGUGCUGCCUGAGUGGGUCAUUUAACAGAAGAAGAUAUAAUGAGAAGGAGGGCUUUGUUUAGGGCCCUGGCUUCCAGACACUGUGCUUCUCCUGGACUCAAGCUUUCUGGAAAACAGACUCUUAUCCCACCUCCCUACUCCCUUCCUGUACCUCUAGGACUGAGGACUGCACUCAGAGAUGACAUGUUC
RNAcentral lists this long non-coding RNA (7736 nucleotides) under Homo sapiens (human). RNAcentral describes it as "non-protein coding lnc-LMO1-2:1". The record is from RNAcentral. Lineage: Eukaryota; Metazoa; Chordata; Mammalia; Primates; Hominidae.